GGAUUGGUGCCUUCGGRAACUCGAACACAGGWGCUGCAUGGYUGUCGUCAGCUAGUGAMGAGAGAUGUUGGGUUAAGUCCCGCAACGAGCGCAACCCUUGUCCUUAGUUGCCAGCACGUAAUGGUGGGAACUCUAAGGAGACCGCCGGUGACAAACCGGAGGAAGGUGGGGAUGACGUCAAGUCAUCACGGCCCKUACGGCCAGGGCUACACACGUACUACAAUGGUAGGGACAGAGGGCUGCAAGCCGGCGACGGUAAGCCAAUCCCAGAAACCCUAUCUCAGUCCGGAUUGGAGUCUGCAACUCGACUCCAUGAAGUCGGAAUCGCUAGUAAUCGCAGAUCAGCAUUGCUGCGGUGAAUACGUUCCCGGGUCUUGUACACAC
This 384-nucleotide ribosomal RNA is filed under the name Stenotrophomonas maltophilia. RNAcentral's name for it is "bacterial SSU rRNA". Lineage: Bacteria; Pseudomonadati; Pseudomonadota; Gammaproteobacteria; Lysobacterales; Lysobacteraceae. The record is from RNAcentral.